Lutra lutra (Eurasian river otter) is the source of this 648-nucleotide long non-coding RNA. RefSeq lists it as uncharacterized. The record is from RefSeq and is a predicted model, not a curated record. NCBI's taxonomy places the organism in Eukaryota, Metazoa, Chordata, Mammalia, Carnivora, Mustelidae. The transcript is spliced from 2 exons.
CAGUGUGGGGCUCAAUCCCAGGACUCUGGGAUCAUGACCUGAGCCAAAGGCAGAUGCUUAACCGACUGAGCCACCUACGCAUCCCUUUUUUCAUUAUGUUUGAUGCCUUGUAUUCAGAAUUAUACUGUGUGACAUAAAUUUGCCUUAACUGCUUUCUUUGUAUUUGCCUGUGCAAGUGUGGUUGUACUUUUAAUUUUACCCAUUCUUGAUCAUUUUAUGUCUUUUAUUAAUGGCAUUAAGUUGGAGGACUUUUUUUUUUACUUGACUCCAACCUAAGAGUCAUUAGUUUAUUAUAUAUGUUUAAUCCAUUUAUUGCUGUGGUCUUACACAGUCAUUUUAUGCUUCUUUGUGGCCAAUUCUCCAUCUCUCCCUUUCUUUGAUAUCUUGAUCAAGUAUUCUGAAUUGUUCUCUCUGGUUAGUAAUUUAGGUGGAAAAUUUUAUUUUUUAACAUUGGGGUUACCAUUAAACUAAAAAAUUGAAUUUGUAUUUGUCUAAGUUAAAAGUAAAAUAAUAUCUGAUACUGUUUCCAUAAAACUAGAAAUUUAGCAUGCUUUUACAUCUUCUCUCCCCUUGUAACUCAUUUCCCAAUUUGGGUUAGAAUAAUCUGGAAUUUAAGAUUAUGAAAAUUAUUAAACAUUUCGUCUUUUC